RNAcentral lists this long non-coding RNA (1959 nucleotides) under Physeter macrocephalus (sperm whale). RNAcentral's name for it is "Physeter catodon (sperm whale) lncRNA (ENSPCTG00005005780.1)". Lineage: Eukaryota; Metazoa; Chordata; Mammalia; Artiodactyla; Physeteridae. The record is from RNAcentral.
GCCUCGGCGCAGCCGGAACGGCGGCCGAGGCGACCCGACGUCGCGGCGCUUAGACCUGAGCCGGUCCUCAGACGGCGGCCGCGGUGCCCGAGUGCUUCUCGGGGACCCCGGGCGGCGGCGCAAGCCCCGGAGAGGAGGGGCCGGUCCUGCGCGGGGAGGAGCGGGAGGCUGGUGCCCCCCACCCCCACAGCCUACCUCCUCGCCGAACUCUAAAAAUAACUCCGGGCCGCUGGGGCCGGGAGGAGACGCAGCCACAGUCCCCGAGAGCAGCCGGGAGGCGUGUAGAGCCAGGGUCCGGAGGGAGCCUUCCCGGGCGCGCGGAGCGAAGUUGGCGGAGGAAGCAGGAGCUCCCGGCCGCCGGGCGCCGCACGACCCUCGCCCCGCCAACCCGCUGCCGCCGAGUUGUCAAUCAGUCAGUCUUCUGCGUCUGAAAAUGCACGUGCCAGGGCUUCCCUGGUGGUGCAGUGGUUGGGAAUCCAUCUGCCAGUGAAGGGGACACGGGUUCGAUCCCUGGUCCGGGAAGAUCCCACAUGCCACGGAGCAACUAAGCCCGUGCACCACAACUACUGAGCCUGCGCUCUAGAGCCUGCGAGCCACAACUACUUAGCCCACGUGCCACAACUACUGAAGCCCGCGCACCUAGAGCCUGUGCUCUGCAACGAGAAGCCACCACAGUGAGAAGCCCGCGCACCACAACAAAGAGUAGCCCCCACUCGCCGCAACUAGAGAAAGCCCGCGCCCAGCAACAAAAACCCAACGCAGCCAAAAAUAAAUAAUAACUAAAACAAAUAAAUAAAUAAAUAAAAGAAAAUGCACGGUCCCAGUCACAGUGUGAUGGAAAAGCAAAUUUCAGUGAAAUGUUUCAAUGCCUUUCAGUGUUUGAAGUUCCUAGUGAAAUCACACAUGCUGAGAAUGUUAGAACCUAGCAAGGUGGGUCAGAAAUUAUGUCAAGGGCCUUUAGUGGAAAUUAGAGAGCCGGGGAGUGGUGUCUUUGGUUGGUUGAUUAGAAUAGUAAUGACUCAAAUGGGGGGGUGGUCACCAAACAAGACUUGAAGAGACAAAACCUCCACUGUGACAGUGUGUGGAUUGUGCCAAAGAAAUGAACUGUUAAACUUUGCUGUUUCCGUGCCCGUUGUGGAGAACAGAGUGAAAACCGAUCAGCACAGAACCUGGCCUGAGUCAGAAGUGGGCCAGUUACUACUGACACGGCAACAUGAAAGCUUCACUGACGGCCUGAAAGCAGCACAUUUCCUCCCACCACACCUUCAUAGAGCAAGUCACCUUAGAGAAACCUACCAAACAUUUUGAACAUUCAUAAGUGUCUACCCUACUAACUUUGAUGCUCAUUUGGUUAUUACUAAUGCAAACUCAUGUUUAUUUAUUAUUGUUUUAAAGAGAAAGUAGUUGGAAAUGUGAAUAUUUUCCAUCUUUACCUGGUUUUUCAAAAAUAAUCUAAAAGUUUGAAAUUUACUCAAAAGUAAAGAAAAAAAAAGCAUCACUGAUGUAGUGGGGAUUACUUGACCUCUGGCAACCAUUACUGGGAGCCGGAUGUGGGUGACUCUUGGGACUCUAGGCUUCUGUAAGGGUUCCUGGGUAAAAAAGAAUGGUACACUGAAUCUGAGGACAUAUUUCUUCCUUUAUGUGCGGGGGAAGAUAAUCAUGACUGUCUCUUGACCACUUCCCGAGUAUUGGCAGUAUAUAGAGAAACCUAUAUACUGGGUUGGGUUUGUGUGUUCCUUGAUAAUCACAGUGGAAAGGUGAGGUUUUUUAAUACUGUUAUAAUUUCCUUCAUAUGGAGGUGCCCAGCUUGAUCCUUCAGUUUUCCUGUCAGCCCUUUUUUAAACACUGGCCACAUAUAAUGAGGGAUAAAUCAGGAACCUGACUAUACCCAGCAACUCUCUAUCUGAGAAGACCUUCCCAGUCGAAGUAAAUCAAUAAUACUUUAUUGUCGUUUAAGCU